GGGAUGUAUCCCAAACGACUGCCAACAUUUGUAGUAGCGCUUUUUUCCCCCCUCUAUCUUGUCACUAUGGAGCCCAGCAGGAAAAGAAAGGUUUCGGCCAGGUGGGAUCACUUUGAUCAUAUUUCGCCAACGAAGGUUAAAUGUCCCAUCUGUCAAACAGAACUAUCAUACACAAACAAAAGCACAUCUUCAAUGCUCAGGCACUACAGAGCACUUCAUGAAAAUGAGGACACAAACUGGCCUGCACCAGGAAUGAACACAGAUCAAGCACUACAGCAAAAGAGAAGCUCGCUCAAGUGCAGCAACAGAUGGGACGGCCAACCCUAAAACUAAUCAAUGAGACAACCUGUGGCAAUAUCUGGACAAUGAAGUCGGCAGGCAAACCACCAACACUAGAGCAGAUGCAAUAAUUGAGGUCCAGAGAUACAUGUCAGAAGGCAACAUCCCCCGUUCCAGUGAUCCACUGAAAUACUGGGACAGUCAAAGAAGAAAUUACCCUCACCUGUUUCAGCUCUCUUUACAGUUUCUUUGCACACCAGCCUCCUCGGUGCCAUGUGAACGAUUAUUUUCUAAAGCUGGAGAAAUUGCAUCAAAAAAGCGAAAUCGGCUGAAGGCCAAAACUUUGGAAAGGCUUAUUUUUUUGAAUA
Molecule: long non-coding RNA, 647 nt
Organism: Sphaeramia orbicularis (orbiculate cardinalfish)
Lineage: Eukaryota; Metazoa; Chordata; Actinopteri; Kurtiformes; Apogonidae
Exons: 4
Source: RefSeq, a predicted model, not a curated record